RNAcentral lists this ribosomal RNA (274 nucleotides) under uncultured bacterium. RNAcentral's name for it is "partial 16S ribosomal RNA". It matches the Rfam family "Archaeal small subunit ribosomal RNA", at positions 473 to 747 of the family's 1478-position model. The record is from RNAcentral.
AUACCAGCCCCGCGAGUGGUCGGGACGGUUAUUGGGCCUAAAGCGCCCGUAGCCGGCCCGGUAAGUUCCCGCCGAAAUCCCCGGGCUCAACCCGGGGGCCUGCGGGAAUACUGCCGGGCUAGGGGGCGGGAGAGGCCGGGGGUACUCCCGGGGUAGGGGCGAAAUCCUAUAAUCCCGGGAGGACCACCAGUGGCGAAGGCGCCCGGCUGGAACGCGCCCGACGGUGAGGGGCGAAAGCCGGGGGAGCGAACCGGAUUAGAAACCCCAGUAGUCC